Molecule: ribosomal RNA, 695 nt
Filed under: uncultured Gammaproteobacteria bacterium
Lineage: Bacteria; Pseudomonadati; Pseudomonadota; Gammaproteobacteria
Description: bacterial SSU rRNA
Rfam family: Bacterial small subunit ribosomal RNA
Source: RNAcentral
UCGAACGUGAAAGCACUUCGGUGUGAGUAGAGUGGCGGACGGGUGAGUAACGCGUGGGAAUCUACCCAGUAGUGGGGGACAACUACCGGAAACGGUAGCUAAUACCGCAUACGCCCUAUGGGGGAAAGGCUUCGGCCGCUAUUGGAUGAGCCCGCGUCAGAUUAGCUAGUUGGUAGGGUAAAGGCCUACCAAGGCAACGAUCUGUAGCUGGUCUGAGAGGACGAACAGCCACGCUGGGACUGAGACACGGCCCAGACUCCUACGGGAGGCAGCAGUGGGGAAUAUUGGACAAUGGGCGAAAGCCUGAUCCAGCAAUGCCGCGUGUGUGAAGAAGGCCUGCGGGUUGUAAAGCACUUUCAGUUGGGAAGAUAAUGACGUUACCAACAGAAGAAGCACCGGCUAAAUCCGUGCCAGCAGCCGCGGUAAUACGGAUGGUGCGAGCGUUAAUCGGAAUUACUGGGCGUAAAGCGCGCGUAGGCGGCUAAGUCAGUCAGAAGUGAAGGCCCCGGGCUCAACCUGGGAAUUGCUUUUGAUACUGCUUAGCUAGAGUUUGGUAGAGGAUAGUGGAAUUCCAGGUGUAGCGGUGAAAUGCGUAGAUAUCUGGAGGAACAUCAGUGGCGAAGGCGACUGUCUGGACCAAAACUGACGCUGAGGUGCGAAAGCGUGGGUAGCAAACAGGAUUAGAUACCCUGGUA